AGGAUCCGAGCGUUAUCCGGAUUUAUUGGGUUUAAAGGGUGCGUAGGCGGCAUGCUAAGUCAGGGGUGAAAUUCGGCAGCUUAACUGUCGGCGUGCCUUUGAUACUGGCGUGCUUGAAUGCGGAUGAGGUAGGCGGAAUGAGACAAGUAGCGGUGAAAUGCAUAGAUAUGUCUCAGAACACCGAUUGCGAAGGCAGCUUACUAAGUCGUGAUUGACGCUGAUGCACGAAAGCGUGGGGAUCAA
This 243-nucleotide ribosomal RNA is filed under the name uncultured bacterium. Its description in RNAcentral is "partial 16S ribosomal RNA". It matches the Rfam family "Bacterial small subunit ribosomal RNA", at positions 529 to 771 of the family's 1533-position model. The record is from RNAcentral.